GCUGGCAUCAUGAUGAUGACUCUUUGCCGUUUACCCAACUGAUUUUUUUGAUGAGUAACACCAUAUCUGAUGUGCCAGC
Small nucleolar RNA from Callipepla squamata (scaled quail), 79 nucleotides. It matches the Rfam family "Small nucleolar RNA SNORD87". Rfam says of the family: U87 (HBII-276) is a member of the C/D class of snoRNA which contain the C (UGAUGA) and D (CUGA) box motifs. Most of the members of the box C/D family function in directing site-specific 2'-O-methylation of substrate RNAs. Lineage: Eukaryota; Metazoa; Chordata; Aves; Galliformes; Odontophoridae. The record is from Rfam.